This 460-nucleotide ribosomal RNA is filed under the name uncultured bacterium. RNAcentral describes it as "partial 16S ribosomal RNA". It matches the Rfam family "Bacterial small subunit ribosomal RNA", at positions 338 to 795 of the family's 1533-position model. The record is from RNAcentral.
CCUACGGGAUGCUGCAGUGAGGAAUAUUGGUCAAUGGCCGGAAGGCUGAACCAGCCAUGCCGCGUGAAGGUCAGUGCCCUAUGGGCGUUAAACUUCUUUUGUGCGGGAGCAAUAAUGGUCACGUGUGGCCAGACGAGAGUACCGUACGAAUAAGCAUCGGCUAACUUCGUGCCAGCAGCCGCGGUAAUACGGGGGAUGCAAGCGUUAUCCGGAUUUAUUGGGUUUAAAGGGUGCGUAGGCUGUGAGGUAAGUCAGCGGUGAAAUGCCCCCGCUCAACGGGGUGAAGUGCCAUUGAUACUGCCUGGCUUGAAUGCGGAUGCCGUAGGAGGAAUGUGUGGUGUAGCGGUGAAAUGCAUAGAUAUCACACAGAACACCGAUUGCGAAGGCAUCUCACGAAUCCGCGAUUGACGCUGAUGCACGAAAGCGUGGGUAUCAAACAGGAUUAGAUACCCGUGUAGUC